Molecule: ribosomal RNA, 468 nt
Filed under: uncultured bacterium
Lineage: Bacteria
Description: partial 16S ribosomal RNA
Rfam family: Bacterial small subunit ribosomal RNA
Source: RNAcentral
GACGAACGCUGGCGGCGUGCUUAACACAUGCAAGUCGAACGGUGAAGCUCCAGCUUGCUGGAGUGGAUCAGUGGCGAACGGGUGAGUAACACGUGAGCAACCUGCCCCUGACUCUGGAAUAAGCGCUGGAAACGGCGUCUAAUACUGGAUACGAGAAGGGUCCGCAUGGGCACUUUCUGGAAAGUUUUUCGGUUGGGGAUGGGCUCGCGGCCUAUCAGCUUGUUGGUGAGGUAAUGGCUCACCAAGGCGACGACGGGUAGCCGGCCUGAGAGGGCGACCGGCCACACUGGGACUGAGACACGGCCCAGACUCCUACGGGAGGCAGCAGUGGGGAAUAUUGCACAAUGGGCGAAAGCCUGAUGCAGCGACGCCGCGUGAGGGAUGACGGCCUUCGGGUUGUAAACCUCUUUCAGCAGGGAAGAAGCGAAAGUGACGGUACCUGUAGAAGAAGCACCGGCUAACUACGUG